Molecule: transfer RNA, 75 nt
Filed under: Thermoplasmata archaeon
Lineage: Archaea; Methanobacteriati; Thermoplasmatota; Thermoplasmata
Description: tRNA-Met
Source: RNAcentral
GCCCGUAGCUUAGCCAGGUGGAGCGUCUGGCUCAUAACCAGAUGGUCGCCGGUUCAAAUGUAUGGCUUGCAGGCA